UCUCUCUCUCUCUCUCUCUCUCUGGGAUCUCACUGCAUCUGGGAUGAGUCCAACUGAUGGUUUGAUUGUUUUUGGGGAUUUUUGGAUAUGAUCUUUGUUUGAUUUGGUUUAUUGUUUAAUUUUGCCUUGCAUGUUGAUUUUGGCUUGGGUUUCCUUACUCUCUGCUUCCUAGCUCUCUCAUCUACAAGGGACAUUGAAUUUCAGUUUAUAGGCUGUUUUGAUAUCUCGAGAAAGUUGAAUUUUGGCGUUUUCUCGGACGUGAGUUGCCUCUUGCCUCUGCCUUCCUCUCAACUGAAAGUUGGGUAUGCAGAGGAAGAUGAAGAAGAUGUGGGGAAUAGGAAGAAGAAAAGCAUAUCUGGAGAUUGGAAGAUGCUAUUGUCAGGAGGGACUUUGUUGCAAAUUAGUAAAAUAAGGAGAUACUCAAAGUUGUACAAAAGAAUUAUUGUAACAAAAUUUAUUUGUUUUUGGUAUCUCAGUUUAUUUUCUUUUU
This is a long non-coding RNA of Prunus persica (peach), 490 nucleotides long. RefSeq lists it as uncharacterized. The record is from RefSeq and is a predicted model, not a curated record. The transcript has 3 exons. Lineage: Eukaryota; Viridiplantae; Streptophyta; Magnoliopsida; Rosales; Rosaceae.